GAUGAACGCUGGCGGCGUGCCUAAUACAUGCAAGUCGAGCGAACAGACGAGGAGCUUGCUCCUCUGACGUUAGCGGCGGACGGGUGAGUAACACGUGGAUAACCUACCUAUAAGACUGGGAUAACUUCGGGAAACCGGAGCUAAUACCGGAUAAUAUAUUGAACCGCAUGGUUCAAUAGUGAAAGACGGUUUUGCUGUCACUUAUAGAUGGAUCCGCGCCGCAUUAGCUAGUUGGUAAGGUAACGGCUUACCAAGGCGACGAUGCGUAGCCGACCUGAGAGGGUGAUCGGCCACACUGGAACUGAGACACGGUCCAGACUCCUACGGGAGGCAGCAGUAGGGAAUCUUCCGCAAUGGGCGAAAGCCUGACGGAGCAACGCCGCGUGAGUGAUGAAGGUCUUCGGAUCGUGAAACUCUGUUAUUAGGGAAGAACAAAUGUGUAAGUAACUAUGCACGUCUUGACGGUACCUAAUCAGAAAGCCACAGCUAACUACGUG
RNAcentral lists this ribosomal RNA (497 nucleotides) under uncultured bacterium. RNAcentral's name for it is "partial 16S ribosomal RNA". It matches the Rfam family "Bacterial small subunit ribosomal RNA", at positions 28 to 507 of the family's 1533-position model. The record is from RNAcentral.